UACACACCGCCCGUCAAGCCACCUGAGUCGAGAGCACCCGAAAUCGCUGAUCCAACCCGCAAGGGGGGGAAGGCGCUUAAGGUGAGAUCGGUAAGGAGGGCU
This 102-nucleotide ribosomal RNA is filed under the name uncultured bacterium. RNAcentral describes it as "partial 16S ribosomal RNA". It matches the Rfam family "Bacterial small subunit ribosomal RNA", at positions 1384 to 1482 of the family's 1533-position model. The record is from RNAcentral.